Molecule: long non-coding RNA, 909 nt
Organism: Lycium barbarum (goji berry)
Lineage: Eukaryota; Viridiplantae; Streptophyta; Magnoliopsida; Solanales; Solanaceae
Exons: 4
Source: RefSeq, a predicted model, not a curated record
CUCCCCCGCCCACUCCUCUCUCUCUCCUCCUUUCACCACCACCGUAUCCUCACCCACAUCGCCGUACCUUCACCGCCAGCCAGAUCCGGCUUCGUCGCCGCCACCAUCUAUUCCAGAAAUGUGGGUUUUAAGGCAGUUCGUCGUCUGUCAUGGGUUUCGUCGACAUGCCAGCUUGGUCUUUCAGCUCAAUUGGUAUUACAUCUCUGCAAUUUACUUUUCCCUGUUCUUCGUUUCUAUUGUUUAUUAAUAGCAAUUAGAAAGCUAUCUAUUUUGAACUAUGAGGAAAAGGAAAAUGCCCACCAACCAUCCCAACAACAACAAUGAUGGACAUCACUGAAGAAGCAAGUCGUGGACGUCGACUUAGAAGGAAGAAAUCAACAAAACUUACCCAGCAAAGACAGACCUUCCAGCAGUUAACAGAAAACUGAAAUCAGGGCCCCCUACUGUGUCUCAAUUGUUGGAUGGAAUGCUAUGUGGGCUGUUAUGGUAGUUGAAGUAGUAUUUGAGUACCCUCUAGGUGAGUAUUCAUAUGUCACACCUAUGUUUCUUUCUUUUAUUUAAUUCAUUGUGCAUAAGACUUUUGAAAAUGUUAUUCACUUGGAGUCAAAAUUCCAUUACCAUAUGCAGGUUCUACACUUUAUAAGUGUGUAAAUACAGCUAUGGUAGCAUGUCUCACUGAAUCUCUAGGAAUUUUGUUUAUUGCUCUUCUCUGUGCCUUUGAUUUUCUCCAACAGCUAACAGUGUGAUUAAUGAAAGCUAGAUGAGGGAUUCUGUAUGUAAUACAUCUUUCCUUUCUUGUGUCUGUUUGGGAAUUACAAUUGGUUUCCAUCAUGGAGAUAGAUUGAAAACUGUUUGGGAAUUUUGCAGCUGAAAGACUAGAUUUGGAGAAUAUUUAUGUGGGGUGUUUGA